CUUAGGGCCAUGUUGACGGACAGUAAAUUUAGUGUCGCAACUGCCAAGCUCUUGGUUUCUAUCUCGGCACCACGGCACAGUAACAUGACGACGCAACUGUAUGCAACUUGUCCAAAAGCGGGGUUAGGGUCACACGACAGCGUGUGUUUCUUCACUGCCUCAGCGAGAUGAAAGCGCAGCGUGUCUGCCUGCAGACCGUGCCGAGCAGUCCGGGAUUCAAUUCUACUUGAUUUGUCAUUAUACUUCCACGGAUGAGCAACAGCGGCCUGCUCGAAGUCCCAGCCGCACGCGAGACGACGAAGCCGGGCAGGGCGGCCGUCUCGCUGUCACCCCACAUCUCCGAAGAAGCUGCAGAAGGGAGGAAGCCGGGCGGGGUGUUUCUCAGAUUUUCCCGGUGCGGCCCGGGUUCCUGGGAAUGUGCAGGAGCGAAUGGGAACUUUGAGUCAGAGUGAGUCACGGCGACAGGGGCAGCUGGAAAGUGUGGAGGGAGAGAGAGAGAGAAAGAGAGAGGAAACCAGCUCCCUCGCAGCUGCCAGAGCGGAGGCUGCAGGCAGGAACGCUCAGAUGGUGUGCUUUUACGGGCGUAAACAAACGCAGCUCCGCCGCAUGUCAGCGUGUGCCUACAUGAAACACAUCACUGUGAGGCAAACAGCCUUUCGCCUGGGCACCUGCACCUGCCGGUACCCUAAAAGCUGACAACAGCAGAGAACACCUCUGUACGCCAAGGGGGGCGGGAGUGGGGAACAAGCCAUCCAGCCAUGAUGCCAAAACUGAGACCCUGGCGGAUCUGGAUAGGAUCCUCACGUCCAUUAGUCACUAACAACCAAAGUCAGAAGCAGCAGAUACUGGUUGAAGUAGUUCAGUAUUUUUACAGCUGUGGAGAGUGAAGAAGACGCUGGAGACUUGGAGUCUUGCAUGGACCCCCAGCAAGGACCCCCAGCUGGCUGCCUGCAUGUACAGCAAUACCAGUCAUGUUCUUCUGCACCAGAUUGAGGUUAAAACAAGUGGAUUCGCACGGACUGAGAGCAUCCCACCGCUGCGGGAUUGGAUUGGCUGUGGCUGGUGCUUAAGGCGGCCAGGACUGUAACUUUUCCACACGCAAGAAAAGCAAACUUGCAGACAUGGAGUUUCGUGCAUGACGAAAGCCAUCAUGAGGCUCUCGCCUGCCAGCCUCCAUUCUGCAAGAUCUGAGGCACAGACCAUUAACGAUCUGCUUCAGGUUCCACACAUGGGCUUAAAAGUAUGUGCGCUUUCCCUGUGAGCCUGCAGGAAAUUGAAGAUGUGCUCAGCUGAUGUCAUCGAAGAUUGCUGGAGGGCCGAGGGAGGAUACAGAUGGAGGCAGAGGGGGCAGGAUGUGUGUGUGUCAUGUGUGGGAUCACCCCCCCCCCCCGCUUGCUUUCCAGAUAUCCCACCACCCCCAGCAGCAUCAGCUCACGGCUCCUGUCCAAUCACUGCCCGUGGGGUGACGGGACACAGGCUGCAAGAUAAGGAAAAACAGCCCUUCGUUUAAACCACACUCGCGUCCGUAAGAGUCAUGUGCAAGGAAUCUUCCUCCACGAGCUCCUAGAGACGCCUGCGGUUUCUUGCCUCUGUUUUGAACAUGAUCCCAUAGGUAUGAGCUCACUGGAAAAAAAGUUACCAGGAAUUUCUGCACAGCCUUGCUGGAGGAUGUACCAGAGGCAGUGAUUUGUUUUCAUGCUUUCCUAAGGGAGUGCAGAUGGAGUUUUCCCAUAGAAACUCCGCUAAUCAAUUUUGCUCCCCCCAUCUCCCUCAUUUUCCUUUGCAUGUUCCAUUUCCUUACUGUGCAGGAAAAUGUGACCAUGCAUUACGGCUUCUCCACAUUCCGUUUCUAACAGGGUAGUGUUUCACAGUAAUUAUAAGCUUUCGCUGCAGUGACUCGCAGUGUUAGGACAUUCAGCUCAUCGAGCCCAUUUGAGUGUUAGUCAACAACUGAUACAGGUUUUGGGUUCGGUCAGCAUGGCUGGAUAGUCUGUUCCAUACUCCUAUAACCCUUUUUGUAAAGGUAUGCCUACUGUUCACAGAUUUACAUGCAUUCCCAUGCCAUUUCCUUUUUUUUUUUUUAGCAGUCUAGUGUGGUAGGACGGCACGAAACAUUUCCACCCUUUAGUUUCAUUGAUACAGUGCUCCGGAAACAUCAGGACAGAAAAGCACAAAAUAAUCUGUGUUGUGUUUUUGGCCAGUCUCAUACGUAAAUAUGGAAGCCUAUUAGCAGCACGGAGGGAAAAAAAUCUGCUUCCAUACGUCCAUUUGAUUAUAGCAGAACAAGGUCUACUAUAUGAGGUCUGCUUAGUUAUUUCAGGUGAUUUUGAGAACUGGGACACAGCCAGGUGCAGAGUAUAUAAGUCAGUUUUCUGUUUCCUGUCCCUCUCUGUGUGAAAUUGAGCGUCUUUGUGUUAUCAUUUAGAUGCUUUGUUACAGCCGCUUUGAGUUCUUGCCUGUUCUAGGGGUGUUCUUCCUUCAGUAUUUUACAGGUAUGUUAUUUGCAGUCUAUGUACUGGCUUUGUUACUCUGUUCUCCUCCUCACUGAUAACUGGUGUGUGGGGAGUGUACUGGUGCAUUCUGGCUGCUGUCACA
Non-coding RNA from Lepisosteus oculatus (spotted gar), 2595 nucleotides. The record is from RefSeq and is a predicted model, not a curated record. Lineage: Eukaryota; Metazoa; Chordata; Actinopteri; Semionotiformes; Lepisosteidae.